GAUGAAGAACGUAGCGAAAUGCGAUAAGUAAUGUGAAUUGCAGAAUUCAGUGAAUCAUCGAAUCUUUGAACGCACAUUGCGCCCCCUGGUAUUCCGGGGGGCAUGCCUGUCCGAGCGUCAUUGCCGCCCUCAAGCACGGCUUGUGUGUUGGGCCCCCGCCCCCCGGCUUCGGGGGGCGGGCCCGAAAGGCAGCGGCGGCACCGCGUCCGGUCCUCGAGCGUAUGGGGCUUCGUCACCCGCUCUGUAGGCCCGGCCGGCGCCCGCCGGCGACCCCAAUCAAUCUUUCCAGGUUGACCUCGGAUCAGGUAGGGAUACCCGCUGAACUUAAGCAUAUCAAUAAGCGGAGGA
This 348-nucleotide unclassified non-coding RNA is filed under the name soil metagenome. RNAcentral's name for it is "partial contains 5.8S ribosomal RNA, internal transcribed spacer 2, and large subunit ribosomal RNA". The stretch from base 1 to 120 matches the Rfam family "5.8S ribosomal RNA", at positions 35 to 154 of the family's 154-position model. The record is from RNAcentral.